GGAGGAGUAGGGAUGACGCGAGAAGUUGGUUCGCGGGCUUGAAAACCGUUGUCCGCAAGGACUUGUGGGUUCGAGUCCCACGCCCUCCG
Molecule: transfer RNA, 89 nt
Filed under: Actinomycetota bacterium
Lineage: Bacteria; Bacillati; Actinomycetota
Description: tRNA-OTHER
Source: RNAcentral